This 226-nucleotide ribosomal RNA is filed under the name uncultured bacterium. RNAcentral's name for it is "partial 16S ribosomal RNA". It matches the Rfam family "Bacterial small subunit ribosomal RNA", at positions 538 to 762 of the family's 1533-position model. The record is from RNAcentral.
GCGUUGUCCGGAUUUAUUGGGCGUAAAGAGCUCGUAGGCGGCUUAGCAAGUCAGGUGUGAAAACUCCAGGCUCAACCUGGAGACGCCACUUGAGACUGCUAUGGCUAGAGUCCGGUAGGGGACCACGGAAUUCCUGGUGUAGCGGUGAAAUGCGCAGAUAUCAGGAGGAACACCAGUGGCGAAGGCGGUGGUCUGGGCCGGCACUGACGCUGAGGAGCGAAAGCGU